This 73-nucleotide transfer RNA is filed under the name Cavia porcellus (domestic guinea pig). It matches the Rfam family "tRNA". From Rfam's summary of the family: Transfer RNA (tRNA) molecules are approximately 80 nucleotides in length. Their secondary structure includes four short double-helical elements and three loops (D, anti-codon, and T loops). The record is from Rfam by way of RNAcentral. Lineage: Eukaryota; Metazoa; Chordata; Mammalia; Rodentia; Caviidae.
GGGGACUUAGCUCAGCGGCAUAAGCACCUGCCUGGCAAGCAUGAGGUCAUGAGUUCAAUCCCUGGUGUCCCCC